GACGAACGCUGGCGGCGUGCUUAACACAUGCAAGUCGAACGGAAAGGCCCUGCUUUUGUGGGGUGCUCGAGUGGCGAACGGGUGAGUAACACGUGAGUAACCUGCCCUUGACUUUGGGAUAACUUCAGGAAACUGGGGCUAAUACCGGAUAGGAGCUCCUGCUGCAUGGUGGGGGUUGGAAAGUUUCGGCGGUUGGGGAUGGACUCGCGGCUUAUCAGCUUGUUGGUGGGGUAGUGGCUUACCAAGGCUUUGACGGGUAGCCGGCCUGAGAGGGUGGCCGGCCACAUUGGGACUGAGAUACGGCCCAGACUCCUACGGGAGGCAGCAGUGGGGAAUAUUGCACAAUGGGCGGAAGCCUGAUGCAGCAACGCCGCGUGCGGGAUGACGGCCUUCGGGUUGUAAACCGCUUUCGCCUGUGACGAAGCGUGAGUGACGGUAAUGGGUAAAGAAGCACCGGCUAACUACGUGCCAGCAGCCGCGGUGAUACGUAGGGUGCGAGCGUUGUCCGGAUUUAUUGGGCGUAAAGGGCUCGUAGGUGGUUGAUCGCGUCGGAAGUGUAAUCUUGGGGCUCAACCCUGAGCGUGCUUUCGAUACGGGUUGACUUGAGGAAGGUAGGGGAGAAUGGAAUUCCUGGUGGAGCGGUGGAAUGCGCAGAUAUCAGGAGGAACACCAGUGGCGAAGGCGGUUCUCUGGGCCUUUCCUGACGCUGAGGAGCGAAAGCGUGGGGAGCGAACAGGCUUAGAUACCCUGGUAGUCCACGCUGUAAACGGUGGGUACUAGGUGUGGGGUCCAUUCCACGGGUUCCGUGCCGUAGCUAACGCUUUAAGUACCCCGCCUGGGGAGUACGGCCGCAAGGCUAAAACUCAAAGGAAUUGACGGGGCCCCGCACAAGCGGCGGAGCAUGCGGAUUAAUUCGAUGCAACGCGUAGAACCUUACCUGGGUUUGACAUGGAUCGGGAGUGCUCAGAGAUGGGUGUGCCUCUUUUGGGGUCGGUUCACAGGUGGUGCAUGGCUGUCGUCAGCUCGUGUCGUGAGAUGUUGGGUUAAGUCCCGCAACGAGCGCAACCCUUGUUCACUGUUGCCAGCACGUUAUGGUGGGGACUCAGUGGAGACCGCCGGGGUCAACUCGGAGGAAGGUGGGGAUGACGUCAAGUCAUCAUGCCCCUUAUGUCCAGGGCUUCACGCAUGCUACAAUGGCUGGUACAGAGAGUGGCGAGCCUGUGAGGGUGAGCGAAUCUCGGAAAGCCGGUCUCAGUUCGGAUUGGGGUCUGCAGCUCGACCUCAUGAAGUCGGAGUCGCUAGUGAUCGCAGAUCAGCAACGCUGCGGUGAAUACGUUCCCGGG
RNAcentral lists this ribosomal RNA (1343 nucleotides) under uncultured bacterium. Its description in RNAcentral is "16S ribosomal RNA". It matches the Rfam family "Bacterial small subunit ribosomal RNA", at positions 28 to 1378 of the family's 1533-position model. The record is from RNAcentral.